This 426-nucleotide ribosomal RNA is filed under the name uncultured Wolinella sp. RNAcentral describes it as "bacterial SSU rRNA". It matches the Rfam family "Bacterial small subunit ribosomal RNA", at positions 356 to 774 of the family's 1533-position model. The record is from RNAcentral. Lineage: Bacteria; Pseudomonadati; Campylobacterota; Epsilonproteobacteria; Campylobacterales; Helicobacteraceae.
GGGGAAUAUUGCGCAAUGGGCGAAAGCCUGACGCAGCGACGCCGCGUGAGGGAUGAAGGUUUUCGGAUCGUAAACCUCUGUCAGAAGGGAAGAAACCGCACCGUGCUAAUCAGCGGUGCCUUGACGGUACCUUCAAAGGAAGCACCGGCUAACUCCGUGCCAGCAGCCGCGGUAAUACGGAGGGUGCAAGCGUUACUCGGAAUCACUGGGCGUAAAGAGCACGUAGGCGGCCUUGCAAGUCAGAUGUGAAAUCCAACGGCUUAACCGUUGAACUGCAUUUGAAACUGCAAGGCUAGAGUAUGGGAGAGGUAGGUGGAAUUCUCGGUGUAGGGGUAAAAUCCGUAGAGAUCGAGAGGAAUACUCAUUGCGAAGGCGACCUGCUGGAACAUUACUGACGCUGAGGUGCGAAAGCGUGGGGAGCAAACA